RNAcentral lists this long non-coding RNA (519 nucleotides) under Homo sapiens (human). RNAcentral's name for it is "novel transcript". Lineage: Eukaryota; Metazoa; Chordata; Mammalia; Primates; Hominidae. The record is from RNAcentral.
GUGACCUCGAGGCAGCCUCAGCACGGCACUCUCUUGGGUCCUCUUCCAGGCUCACACUGGGCGACAGCGGAGAGGCUCUUGGACGGGGCAGAGCUCGCGCCGAGACCUGCAUGUCCGCGUCUUGUGACGGGUGUGUGGGAAGCCGCCCGCCUGUGCAUCUUGCUUCCGGGUAUUCGCUGGCUGAUUUACUGGUUUUAGAGAUGGGGAUGGGCACCCAGUGCUGGACUGAAGACCAGAGAAGGUGGAGCUCCCUGUGGCCUUGGUCUCACCUCUCUUCAGUCCUCCUGGCUGACAAGGAGGGUGGGCCGCCGGCAGUGGACGAGGUGUUGGAUGAGGCUGUGCCCGAGUACCGGGCGCCGGGGAGGAAGAGCCUCUUGGAGAUCCGGCAGCUGGACCCGGACGACAGGAGCCUGGCCAAGUACAAGCGGGUGCUGCUGGGGCCCCUGCCACCGGCCGUGGACCCAAGCCUGCCCAAUGUGCAGGUGACCAGGCUGACACUCCUGUCGGAACAGGCUCCGG